CACAGAGAAGGGGGAGGCGCGGACAGUGCAGGUGAUGAAGUGAGUUAAAGCGCAGGCGGAUGGCUGAGUUGAAGAUAUCCAAACAGUGGAAAAACUAUCUUGACUCCUGGUAUUCUGACUUGGGGUGUAUGCUUUGGACCACUAUGCUACCUGGAUUCUGAAUAGAGUGGGACCCAGAUCCUUAAGGUCUUUUUUGUUCACAGAAAUUAGAGGAGUUCUUACUGUGUGUUGCACAUCAUGCAUGUGGGACAUGCCAGGAUAUCGAAUGUGGAUCAUGGACAAGAGAUUCUCUAAAGGAACUUUCCUUAUUGUGGCUGAAACAGAUACAUAAUCUCCA
Ochotona curzoniae (black-lipped pika) is the source of this 337-nucleotide long non-coding RNA. RefSeq lists it as uncharacterized. The transcript is spliced from 3 exons. The record is from RefSeq and is a predicted model, not a curated record. Lineage: Eukaryota; Metazoa; Chordata; Mammalia; Lagomorpha; Ochotonidae.